Molecule: long non-coding RNA, 750 nt
Organism: Hippocampus zosterae (dwarf seahorse)
Lineage: Eukaryota; Metazoa; Chordata; Actinopteri; Syngnathiformes; Syngnathidae
Exons: 3
Source: RefSeq, a predicted model, not a curated record
GCGUAUGUGGAUAAUGGAUUGGAACAUUAGCAACGAGCAAUGAUGGAAAAAAGGAAAUGACUAACUAAAAAGGAUUGGUUUUUUUUUAUAUAAAGGUGUCCUCGAGGCAAAACAACAAAGGAGAUGGUGUUUGUGUGGAAGACAAAAUGACGCUUCGGUCACUAAUCGAAAGCGGCACACGUCAAACGAACGUUGGCCGGCACAAACAUGGCGUGCUACACGCAGCCCGCAUAGCUCCCGCCGAGUUUCUGAUGUAGAUGAACUUGCUCCACGUCAGCGAUCAUCGCUUGGCAGAGCAUUUUGUGCCUCCCGAUGCCCCACAUCGCCCACAAAUCGUCUCCCCGGCGACUUCCAGAGACGACGGCAAAGAGGCUGCAUUGCUUCGCAUGGCCGACGCCGGGCACAGGUCAGCGAUUCGUUGAAAUAGUCUCGUAAUGACGACGGCGAAAACGAUGAAUUGGAGAGCGAUUUGGAUCCCGAUAUGUCGGACGAAUAUGUGCCUUCGGACAUCACGGAAAGCAGCUGAGUCCUCGCCAGAGCCGCUGGAACGAGGAGAUUGCCCAACCAGAGGCCAAAAGAUGACUCCUCGCUUUGGUGGUGGAAAGAAAGGUCGUGCAUCUGGACGUGGUGAGAUGAAUCGAUGUGGUGACAAACUGGAUGGAAGCCAAAAAACAUCUUCUCCACAGCUGCACUUUUGUUCAUAGUUCAAUAGUUUUGUUGUGUGCAAAUAAAUUAUUUUGCUACAAAAAA